RNAcentral lists this ribosomal RNA (162 nucleotides) under Prasophyllum plumiforme. RNAcentral describes it as "5.8S ribosomal RNA". It matches the Rfam family "5.8S ribosomal RNA". Rfam says of the family: 5.8S ribosomal RNA (5.8S rRNA) is a component of the large subunit of the eukaryotic ribosome. The record is from RNAcentral. Lineage: Eukaryota; Viridiplantae; Streptophyta; Magnoliopsida; Asparagales; Orchidaceae.
UAUGACUCUCGACAAUUGAUAUCUUGGCUCUGGCAUCGUUGAAGAGCGCAGCAAAAUGCGAUACGUGGUGCAAAUUGCAUAAUCUCGUGAACCAUCGAGUUUUUGAACGCAAGUUGUGCCUGAGGCCAACUGGUUGAGGGCACGUCCACCUGGGCGUCAUGC